UUUCCGUAGGUGAACCUGCGGAAGGAUCAUUACUGAAGUGAGUCUUCAAUCAUUGAAGCUUCUUCCCAUAGUCCUGGCUUUGACCGUAUGUAAUGUUGGGGAUUAAACACGGUUGAGAGAAAUCUUUGCCGUCCCCAACAAAUUAUCUUAUCCUUUAUUAAAUUUAACUGAACUCAUUUUGAUAUUACAUAAAAAAAAAUAAGCUUUUAAUACAACUUUCAACAACGGAUCUCUUGGUUCUC
Molecule: unclassified non-coding RNA, 242 nt
Filed under: plant metagenome
Description: partial contains small subunit ribosomal RNA, internal transcribed spacer 1, and 5.8S ribosomal RNA
Source: RNAcentral